This 279-nucleotide ribosomal RNA is filed under the name uncultured bacterium. Its description in RNAcentral is "partial 16S ribosomal RNA". It matches the Rfam family "Bacterial small subunit ribosomal RNA", at positions 506 to 784 of the family's 1533-position model. The record is from RNAcentral.
UGCCAGCCGCCGCGGUAAUACGGAGGGUGCAAGCGUUGUUCGGAUUUACUGGGCGUAAAGGGCACGUAGGCGGCAUAGUAAGUUAAGGGUGAAAUCCCGGGGCUCAACUCCGGAACUGCUCUUAAAACUGCUAAGCUAGAGAUAGUCAGAGGCGGGUAGAAUUCCUGGUGUAGAGGUGAAAUUCGUAGAUAUCAGGAGGAAUACCGGUGGCGAAGGCGGCCCGCUGGGGCUAUUCUGACGCUAAUGUGCGAAAGCGUGGGGAGCGAACGGGAUUAGAUA